Molecule: ribosomal RNA, 253 nt
Filed under: uncultured bacterium
Lineage: Bacteria
Description: partial 16S ribosomal RNA
Rfam family: Bacterial small subunit ribosomal RNA
Source: RNAcentral
UACGUAGGGUGCAAGCGUUAAUCGGAAUUACUGGGCGUAAAGCGUGCGCAGGCGGUUUUGUAAGACUGUCGUGAAAUCCCCGGGCUCAACCUGGGAAUGGCGAUGGUGACUGCAAGGCUAGAGUUUGGCAGAGGGGGGUAGAAUUCCACGUGUAGUAGUGAAAUGCGUAGAUAUGUGGAGGAACACCGAUGGCGAAGGCAGCCCCCUGGGUCAAAACUGACGCUCAUGCACGAAAGCGUGGGGAGCAAACAGG